GUGAAGAUGCAGUGUACCCGCGGCAAGACGGAAAGACCCCGUGAACCUUUACUAUAGCUUGACACUGAACAUUGAGCCUUGAUGUGUAGGAUAGGUGGGAGGCUUUGAAGCGUGGACGCCAGUCUGCGUGGAGCCGGCCUUGAAAUACCACCCUUUAAUGUUUGAUGUUCUAACGUGGACCCGUGAUCCGGGUUGCGGACAGUGUCUGGUGGGUAGUUUGACUGGGGCGGUCUCCUCCUAAAGAGUAACGGAGGAGCACGAAGG
Molecule: ribosomal RNA, 264 nt
Filed under: Salmonella enterica subsp. enterica
Lineage: Bacteria; Pseudomonadati; Pseudomonadota; Gammaproteobacteria; Enterobacterales; Enterobacteriaceae
Description: partial 23S ribosomal RNA
Rfam family: Bacterial large subunit ribosomal RNA
Source: RNAcentral